GACGAACGCUGGCGGCGUGCUUAACACAUGCAAGUCGAACGAAAAGGCCCUGCUUUUGUUGGUUGCUCGAGUGGCGAACGGGUGAGUAACACGUGAGUAACCUGCCCUUGACUUUGGGAUAACUUCAGGGGACUGGGGCUAAUACCGGAUAGGAGCUACUGCUGCAUGGUGGUGGUUAGAAAGUUUCGGCGGUUGGGGAUGGAUUCGCGGCUUAUCAGCUUGUUGGUGGGGUAGUGGCUUACCAGGGCUUUGACGGGUAGCCGGCCUGAGAGGGUGACCGGCCACAAUGGGACUGAGAUACGGACCAGACUCCUACGGGAGGCAGCAGGGGGGAAUAUUGCACAAUGGGGGGAAGCCUGAUGUAGCAAUGCCGCGUGCGGGAUGACGGCCUUCGGGUUGUAAACCGCUUUCGCCGGUGACGAAGCGUGAGUGACGGUAAUGGGUAAAGAAGCACCGGCUAACUACGUG
RNAcentral lists this ribosomal RNA (468 nucleotides) under uncultured bacterium. Its description in RNAcentral is "partial 16S ribosomal RNA". It matches the Rfam family "Bacterial small subunit ribosomal RNA", at positions 28 to 507 of the family's 1533-position model. The record is from RNAcentral.